CAGAUGACAAUACAAGAAAAUCCACCAAGUGCAUCAAUUUAACAAAGUCAUAUGCAGGAUCUGAGCCGUUAAAACUACAAGAUACUGUGGUUGAACUUGAGAAUGAAAGAAAUCUUAUGAUGGUUGCAUUGACACGAACAGGCAUACCAUGAAUCCACGCAUGAUCGCAGCAGAAGCUGAAUAAGGUCCUGUGAUAGAAUUUUGAUGAAUAAUAUUUGACUAAGAGUUUGGAGCGGCUUAUUCACCUUUUACGCCAAAGUAUCGAGAAUACAAACAAGAUUGAAGGAGAUGUUGAACGAGCACCUGUUAUACAGCUGCAAUUGAAAUUGAUCUGACGAGCCCAGCUCCUCGACGCUCACAGAAGAAUCUACUUGGACCAGAAAUCGUAAAAAGUUUGACAAUACGGCACGAGAGAACACAACCGACUGACGUCAUCCAAAAAUUUUAUUUCUGCAUAUUUAAACGCUCACUUCCUCGGCCGGCUAAUGAUUAUUAGCUAAUCAAAAUUGUUUAUUAUGGCGAUACAGUUCUUUUCAUAUAUAUUCAAAACUAUAAAAGUGAUUUUGUAAAAGGAAACUGGGGCUAAUGAUCCAAAAUAAAGAAUUACCUUUGGUGUGGUCUGAUUCCAAUACGAAAGAUUCGGAUUCGGACCGGGGCCCACCAGUUGAGUAGCCCUGGUAUAUUCUUAUUGCAGUAGUAAAGAAACCGGACUUAUAUUCGCGAUUAUGUGAUAAAAUAAACUACUGACUGACAUACAGUUAGACUACCUGCCAAAACGAGCAUUAACUCUACAUUUAUCAAACAGACGAACAUUCGCAUAAUCUAAGUAUCAGUUCGGCAAGUGAAUUGCUAAUUUUAUUCAGCUUUUUUACAUCCAAGUUGUGUAAAGGGACUGAAACCUAUGGGCAGGGAAAUAUUCACUUGGCUAACACAGACAGUCCCCGAACUCUUAAUAGAACUAAAAUAAG
Styela clava is the source of this 968-nucleotide non-coding RNA. NCBI's taxonomy places the organism in Eukaryota, Metazoa, Chordata, Ascidiacea, Stolidobranchia, Styelidae. The record is from RefSeq and is a predicted model, not a curated record.